RNAcentral lists this long non-coding RNA (438 nucleotides) under Olea europaea subsp. europaea. The record is from RNAcentral. Lineage: Eukaryota; Viridiplantae; Streptophyta; Magnoliopsida; Lamiales; Oleaceae.
CCCGUUCUUUGACGCACUAUAAAAUAUUGUCUUGCACUUGUUAUUCUAGUGAAGAAUUUUUGCUCUCUUUUCUUCUGUAGUGGAUAUAUCAGAAGUAAGUGGUAAAGAUCAAGUAGAAGCACAGCCUGCCAAAAAGGGGAGGGGAAGGAAACAAUAGUGCUUCAUGAUCUGUAUGGAUUUUGGACAAAAUCACAAUUGUCAAGGGAACGUUUGAAACUAAUGUUGCUUUUAACCCAUCUUGUUCGGUUGCAAUGGUUUUUUGGUCAACUUCUAUAUAUUUGUAGGGAAUCAUGUGCUAAAUUCUUUGUUUUGUACCAAUUUUCUCGUUUUUUUUCUUCCAAGAUUCUCGUGAUUUUUGUUUUAUUUCUCGUACUCCAGUUGAAUUGUGGUUCAUAUAGGUGUCAUUAAUGAACUUUGCAUUCUUUCACUGGCUUUUAG